Molecule: non-coding RNA, 411 nt
Organism: Onychomys torridus (southern grasshopper mouse)
Lineage: Eukaryota; Metazoa; Chordata; Mammalia; Rodentia; Cricetidae
Source: the annotation of a RefSeq genome assembly
AUGGAAUGGAACUUGAUUAUUCUCUUUUUUGUGGCAGCAUCUACAAGAGUCCACUACCAGGUCCUGCUGCAGCAGUCUGGAGCAGAGCUAAGAAAGCCUAGGUCCUCAGGGAAAGUGUCCUACAAGGCUUCUGGCUACAUCUUGGCUAUCUAUGAUAUGCACUGGGUGAAGCAGGCAUCCGGACAGGUCCUGGAGUGGAUUGAAAAUAUUUGUCCUGGAAUUUGUGGUACUAACUACAACCAGAAGUUCAAGGGCAAGGCCACACUGACCACAGACAAAUCCUCCAACACAGCCUACAUGGAGGUCCGCAGCCUGACAUCUGAGGACUCUUCUGUCUAUUACUUUGUGAGACACAGUGUUGCAACCCACAUCCUGAGUGUGUCAGAAGCCCUGGAGGAGAAACUGAGAUGA